RNAcentral lists this non-coding RNA (29 nucleotides) under Mus musculus (house mouse). The record is from RNAcentral. Lineage: Eukaryota; Metazoa; Chordata; Mammalia; Rodentia; Muridae.
CAAAGAACUUCUGGUGGCUUCUGUGGACU